RNAcentral lists this ribosomal RNA (505 nucleotides) under uncultured bacterium. Its description in RNAcentral is "partial 16S ribosomal RNA". It matches the Rfam family "Bacterial small subunit ribosomal RNA", at positions 28 to 507 of the family's 1533-position model. The record is from RNAcentral.
GACGAACGCUGGCGGCGUGCCUAAUACAUGCAAGUCGAACGCACAGUUUAUACCGUAGCUUGCUACACCAUAGACUGUGAGUUGCGAACGGGUGAGUAACGCGUAGGUAACCUGCCUGGUAGCGGGGGAUAACUAUUGGAAACGAUAGCUAAUACCGCAUAAUAUUAAUUAUUGCAUGAUAAUUAAUUGAAAGGUGCAAUUGCACCACUACCAGAUGGACCUGCGUUGUAUUAGCUAGUAGGUGAGGUAACGGCUCACCUAGGCGACGAUACAUAGCCGACCUGAGAGGGUGAUCGGCCACACUGGGACUGAGACACGGCCCAGACUCCUACGGGAGGCAGCAGUAGGGAAUCUUCGGCAAUGGACGAAAGUCUGACCGAGCAACGCCGCGUGAGUGAAGAAGGGUUUCGGAUCGGAAAGCUCUGUUGUAAGAGAAGAACGGGUGUGAGAGUGGAAAGUUCACACUGUGACGGUAUCUUACCAGAAAGGGACGGCUAACUACGUG